RNAcentral lists this long non-coding RNA (643 nucleotides) under Rattus norvegicus (Norway rat). RNAcentral describes it as "long non-coding RNA NONRATT033998". The record is from RNAcentral. Lineage: Eukaryota; Metazoa; Chordata; Mammalia; Rodentia; Muridae.
GGCUGGCGCGGCGAAGGUUGGCGCCAUCUUGCAAUGGCGGAGUCUAUCCUGACCUACCACGUGGGGCGCAGUGGAAGACAGCGCCAUCUAGUGGUGGCGAAUGUAUUGCGGCCCUCUACAAGGAGGUGGCUCAGAAUGAACUGCAAAGCACAGUGACGUUAAUGAAGUAUGUGUGCAUCCAUGAGAAGAAAAUGAACUUGGCGCUCCGGGUCCUUCCUUCCAGUCCUUGCCUGGCUAUGAGCACAUCAAACAAACAUUCAGGCAGAGGACCUUUAAUCAGCUUCUCAAGGACAGCGAAUCGAGCCAGAAAAGUAAUUCAAUCCUCAUGCCCAAGUUACAAGGAAGGUUGGCACUAAAGGAGGUCGUGGUGGAAUAAGGAACUCUCUUCCUCUCUUUCUUGUCUUUUGUCCCCUCUCUGUGGAACAGCGUAGCAAAACAAUCGCUCUGUUUAUUAUGAGCACCUGGAGAGAUGUUCGUUCUGUGCUUGACAAGAGACACUCUGCGCAUUGUUACUUGGGGGAUAAGAGUUCUAGUAACGAACUGUAAGUGUUGGGAAAAUCUCGGGCAACAUGAUAAUAGUGGGUGCAUAUAUUCCCUUAUCUGGUUUAGAAAAAUGAAAUAAAUCUAAGAAGUUGCAGAAGAC